UGGUGGGUAGUUUGACUGGGGCGGUCUCCUCCUAAAGAGUAACGGAGGAGCACGAAGGUUGGCUAAUCCUGGUCGGACAUCAGGAGGUUAGUGCAAUGGCAUAAGCCAGCUUGACUGCGAGCGUGACGGCGCGAGCAGGUGCGAAAGCAGGUCAUAGUGAUCCGGUGGUUCUGAAUGGAAGGGCCAUCGCUCAACGGAUAAAAGGUACUCCGGGGAUAACAGGCUGAUACCGCCCAAGAGUUCAUAUCGACGGCGGUGUUUGGCACCUCGAUGUCGGCUCAUCACAUCCUGGGGCUGAAGUAGGUCCCAAGGGUAUGGCUGUUCGCCAUUUAAAGUGGUACGCGAGCUGGGUUUAGAACGUCGUGAGACAGUUCGGUCCCUAUCUGCCGUGGGCGCUGGAGAACUGAGGGGGGCUGCUCCUAGUACGAGAGGACCGGAGUGGACGCAUCACUGGUGUUCGGGUUGUCAUGCCAAUGGCACUGCCCGGUAGCUAAAUGCGGAAGAGAUAAGUGCUGAAAGCAUCUAAGCACGAAACUUGCCCCGAGAUGAGUUCUCCCUGAGACUUAAAGUCUCCUGAAGGAACGUUGAAGACGACGACGUUGAUAGGCCGGGUGUGUAAGCG
This 622-nucleotide ribosomal RNA is filed under the name Salmonella enterica subsp. enterica serovar Alachua. RNAcentral's name for it is "partial 23S ribosomal RNA". It matches the Rfam family "Bacterial large subunit ribosomal RNA", at positions 2259 to 2875 of the family's 2925-position model. Lineage: Bacteria; Pseudomonadati; Pseudomonadota; Gammaproteobacteria; Enterobacterales; Enterobacteriaceae. The record is from RNAcentral.